Molecule: ribosomal RNA, 266 nt
Filed under: uncultured bacterium
Lineage: Bacteria
Description: partial 16S ribosomal RNA
Rfam family: Bacterial small subunit ribosomal RNA
Source: RNAcentral
GUCCACGCCGUAAACGAUGAGUGCUAGACGCUGGGGGCUUGGCUCUCGGUGUCGUCGCUAACGCAUUAAGCACUCCGCCUGGGGAGUACGGCCGCAAGGUUAAAACUCAAAGGAAUUGACGGGGGCCCCGCACAAGCGGUGGAGCAUGUGGUUCAAUUCGAAGCAACGCGCAGAACCUUACCAGCCCUUGACAUGGGGAGUAUGGGCCGCAGAGACGCGGUCCUUCAGUUCGGCUGGCUCCCACACAGGUGCUGCAUGGCUGUCGU